RNAcentral lists this ribosomal RNA (265 nucleotides) under uncultured bacterium. Its description in RNAcentral is "partial 16S ribosomal RNA". It matches the Rfam family "Bacterial small subunit ribosomal RNA", at positions 793 to 1055 of the family's 1533-position model. The record is from RNAcentral.
GUCCACGCCGUAAACGAUGGAUGCUAGGUGUCGCGGGCUUUGACUCCUGCGGUGCCGUAGCCAACGCAUUAAGCAUCCCGCCUGGGAAGUACGGCCGCAAGGCUAAAACUCAAAGGAAUUGACGGGGGCCCGCACAAGCGGUGGAGCAUGUGGUUUAAUUCGACGCAACGCGAAGAACCUUACCUGGGCUAGAAACAUAGAAACCUGGGAGAAAUCUCGGGGUGCUCUUCGGAGAAUCUGUGGUUAGGUGCUGCAUGGCUGUCGU